UUUAUUUUAUACGGGCAACACUGCUGCCACCGUGAUGACAACCCUAUGAAGAUUUUGACAGAUAGAGUGCGCGUUUUCUUCGUGCACUGAUAAACUAUGUUUUCUUACGAUUGUUAUUAAAAAUUGUGUUUUAAAAGUGAAUACAAGAAGUUAUUGUGAUACGAAUUGACGUUUUAAUUCUGAUGAAAGCUAGGAGAUCAUACCCUAGCUUAUAUCAGAAGCGGGAAGAACAGAAAACGCCUAGUUACCAAUGGGGCGCGAAUGCUCCGAAUGAUCUCGAAAUUAAUGAUCACGCCACACUAUGCGAAACACUUCUAUACAAAGACGAGAUGACCACAGCACUGAUUGCUCAACCGCAAUAAUGCAUCAAGGACUUUUCUACUCAAGGAAAACAAAGCGACAUGGUCAACAGUAUUAUCAUCAACGUUCAUCCACUACAGCGCUCGUGAACGCUGAUGGUAUUGAAGAGUAAAACUGAAUGCCUACAAUCGGAUGAGAUUAUAACUGCGAAAGACUUGUGGAGCCAAUAAUGACGACGACCAGACAAGAUUCUUGUGUGUAGAUUACUGCUUGAUACACACUACGCCUGAUGGCGAUUAGACACCUCCACCGUGAUGAAACAUUUUACCAGGUACCCGAGACAUUGGACAAUCAGAUGGCUGGAAAGCAGGUGGCAAGUGAGAGUGCUUGGCCUCUGCAUCAGUAAAGAGAGGCAGGUGGCAAGUGAGAGUGCUUGGCCUCUGCAACAGUAAAGAGAAGCAGGUGGCAAGUGAGAGUGCUUGGCCUCUGCAUCAGUAAAGAGAGGCAGGUGGCAAGUGAGAGUGCUUGGCCUCUGCAUCAGUAAAGAGAAGCAGGUGGCAAGUGAGAGUGCUUGGCCUGUAAGCUUACAAUGUAGUAAAUGAUGUCAUUGCUUGAAGUUGUACAGUGACUGGCAAGUGAGAGUGCUUGGCCAGUGAAGCUAUGAAAAGAUAUGGUAACAAAUGUAGAAUAUAAAAAUAUUAAUAUCAGAUCUGUUUGAAAACUUGAUUACCCAGUAUACAUAUCUUUUCUUUGAAUUGUAUAAAUUAUUUUGCUAGUAAAAAUUGCACUAAAA
Helicoverpa zea (corn earworm) is the source of this 1093-nucleotide long non-coding RNA. RefSeq lists it as uncharacterized. NCBI's taxonomy places the organism in Eukaryota, Metazoa, Arthropoda, Insecta, Lepidoptera, Noctuidae. The record is from RefSeq and is a predicted model, not a curated record. The transcript has 2 exons.